This 569-nucleotide ribosomal RNA is filed under the name uncultured bacterium. Its description in RNAcentral is "partial 16S ribosomal RNA". It matches the Rfam family "Bacterial small subunit ribosomal RNA", at positions 355 to 914 of the family's 1533-position model. The record is from RNAcentral.
UGGGGAAUAUUGCACAAUGGGCGCAAGCCUGAUGCAGCCAUGCCGCGUGUGUGAAGAAGGCCUUCGGGUUGUAAAGCACUUUCAGCGAGGAGGAAGGUGGUGAGCUUAAUACGCUCAUCAAUUGACGUUACUCGCAGAAGAAGCACCGGCUAACUCCGUGCCAGCAGCCGCGGUAAUACGAAGGGUGCAAGCGUUAAUCGGAAUUACUGGGCGUAAAGCGCACGCAGGUGGUUUGUUAAGUCAGAUGUGAAAUCCCCGGGCUCAACCUGGGAACUGCAUUUGAAACUGGCAAGCUAGAGUCUCGUAGAGGGGGGUAGAAUUCCAGGUGUAGCGGUGAAAUGCGUAGAGAUCUGGAGGAAUACCGGUGGCGAAGGCGGCCCCCCUGGACGAAGACUGACGCUCGGGUGCGAAAGCGUGGGGCAGCAAACAGGAUUAGAUACCCUGGUAGUCCACGCUGUAAACGAUGUCGAUUUGGAGGUUGUGCCCUUGAGGCGUGGCUUCCGGAGCUAACGCGUUAAAUCGACCGCCUGGGGAGUACGGCCGCGAGGUUAAAACUCAAAGGAAUUGAC